RNAcentral lists this ribosomal RNA (440 nucleotides) under uncultured bacterium. RNAcentral describes it as "partial 16S ribosomal RNA". It matches the Rfam family "Bacterial small subunit ribosomal RNA", at positions 338 to 795 of the family's 1533-position model. The record is from RNAcentral.
CCUACGGGUGGCAGCAGUAGGGAAUAUUGCUCAAUGGGGGAAACCCUGAAGCAGCAAAGCCGCGUGGAGGAUGAAGGCUUUAGGAUUGUUAACCCCUUUUGUUAGAGAAGAUUAUGACGGUAUCUAACGAAUAAGCACCGGCUAACUCCGUGCCAGCAGCGGCGGUAACACGGAGGGUGCAAGCGUUACUCGGAAUCAUUGGGCGUAAAGGGUGCGUAGGCGGGGUAAUAAGUCAGAUGUGAAAUCCUGUAGCUUAACUACAGAACUGCAUUUGAAACUGUUACUCUGGAGUGUAGGAGAGGUAGGUGGAAUGCUUGGUGUAGGGGUGAAAUGCGUAGAGAUCAAGAAGAAUACUCAUUGCGAAGGCGACCUGCUGGAACACUACUGACGCUGAUGCACGAAAGCGUGGGGAGCAAACAGGAUUAGAUACCCCGGUAGUC